GAUGAACGCUGGCGGCGUGCCUAAUACAUGCAAGUCGAGCGAACAGACGAGGAGCUUGCUCCUCUGACGUUAGCGGCGGACGGGUGAGUAACACGUGGAUAACCUACCUAUAAGACUGGGAUAACUUCGGGAAACCGGAGCUAAUACCGGAUAAUAUAUUGAACCGCAUGGUUCAAUAGUGAAAGACGGUUUUGCUGUCACUUAUAGAUGGAUCCGCGCCGCAUUAGCUAGUUGGUAAGGUAACGGCUUACCAAGGCGACGAUGCGUAGCCGACCUGAGAGGGUGAUCGGCCACAAUGGAAAUGAGACAAGGUCCAGACUCCUACGGGAGGCAGCAGUAGGGAAUCUUCCGCAAUGGGCGGAAGCCUGACGGAGCAAAGCCGCGGGAGGGAUGAAGGUCUUUGGAUCGUAAAACUCUGUUAUUAGGGAAGAACAAAUGUGUAAGUAACUAUGCACGUCUUGACGGUACCUAAUCAGAAAGCCACGGCUAACUACGUG
Molecule: ribosomal RNA, 497 nt
Filed under: uncultured bacterium
Lineage: Bacteria
Description: partial 16S ribosomal RNA
Rfam family: Bacterial small subunit ribosomal RNA
Source: RNAcentral